GUUAAUCAUAAACAAUUUUCCCUUAAUAUCGCGACUGCAUAAAGGCGCUCAUUAGACAUUUGCACGAUGUCGCAGAGUAGGCUUGGCGCAGGCCUGCCUAUGCCUUCCUUUUGCCUUCACGAAAUCUUCCUUUCUAAUUUCGUCUAUAUUCGCACCGUAUUCCUCGAACUUUUGUAUAUUUUUGUACACAACACUUUUGCUGACGUUUAAUUUUUUCGCAAUUUCUUUCGGUUUCUCGUCAUUCAAGUACAACAUUAUAAUAACUUUAAUUUUCUCAAACGAGACUACUGAUUUCCUUGCAUAUCUAACCGUCGCCUCAGAAUCGAUGCUUGAAACAGACGACAUCGUUACCGACGAUAUGUUCAACACAGCUAAUUCCUCGCCUUCAUCGUGGAAAGCUGCCUCUUUUAUACCUCACGGUAGCUAAUCGCGCGUGUAUGCAAAUUUGGCUGUUUAGCAAGAGGCAACGACAUAAUAGGUAUCUGGAACUAGGUAUAUUACAUUGCAGUUAACGAUUGCAAUUUGUAUUUGCAAGGGUUAAAUGUGCACACAUUGUGGUGCAGUGGACCUCUGGCAAAUGCAUUUUGUCCUCCCUUUUCUGCGGCGCGUCCUCGGAGGGGCGAGGGCGCUCCUCGGUUUCUCUCAGCGAUCGCGCACUAUCAUGGAGCAGUUUGCUGCCCUUCUUGAUGUCUUUGAGAGUGUGCUUGGCGAUGUUCAGAAGUACGUCCAUGAUGUCUUUCCUGUGUAUGCGGU
RNAcentral lists this long non-coding RNA (753 nucleotides) under Androctonus crassicauda. The record is from RNAcentral. Lineage: Eukaryota; Metazoa; Arthropoda; Arachnida; Scorpiones; Buthidae.